CCAACACUGGGACUGAGAACUGCCCAGACUCCUACGGGAGGCUGCAGUCGAGAAUCAUUCGCAAUGGGCGAAAGCCUGACGAUGCGACGCCGCGUGAGCGAUGAAGGCCCUCGGGUUGUAAAGCUCUUUCGCCUGGGAACAAGAGAAAGUUACAAAUAGUAGCUUGAUUUGAGGGUACCAGGUAAAGA
Molecule: ribosomal RNA, 188 nt
Filed under: uncultured Chlamydiales bacterium
Lineage: Bacteria; Pseudomonadati; Chlamydiota; Chlamydiia; Chlamydiales
Description: partial 16S ribosomal RNA
Rfam family: Bacterial small subunit ribosomal RNA
Source: RNAcentral